UAUUACUUUGGUUGACUUGAUUUUCCAUAAUCUCUUCUCAUAAUUCAUUCUUUCAAGACAAAGAAAACCCCUACCCUCUCUCCUUCUUAUCACCUGAAAAAUUUCAUGAAAACCAUCAAAAAUUUCCACUAAACCAACCAGCAAAACUCGUUCUUGGUGAAGCUCAAGUUGCUCUUCUCUUUUGUGGUAAUAUACGGGAUGAAAAUUGAAGACGGCCUUAUGAAGUAGUCUUUUUAAAAGCAAUUAUGGAGAUCACAUUUGCAUAUGCACCUUGGUUUUGUAUAGUUUUGGGGCAUGUACAUGAUAUAUAUAUGUCACACUUAUGUAUGUUAUUUGGAGGCUUGUUUGAUCUUAAAACCAAAAUCUUGUAACUUGAAUUUGAUAACUUGUUUUGUUGUUUUAGGGUGUGUUAAUAACUCAAGUCUUGUAAUAUACUGAAUUUACACUUUGUCUUAUAAUUAUGUACAAAGGAGAAAACUAGUUUUCUUUUUUA
Long non-coding RNA from Nicotiana tabacum (common tobacco), 493 nucleotides. RefSeq lists it as uncharacterized. NCBI's taxonomy places the organism in Eukaryota, Viridiplantae, Streptophyta, Magnoliopsida, Solanales, Solanaceae. The record is from RefSeq and is a predicted model, not a curated record.